This 583-nucleotide ribosomal RNA is filed under the name uncultured fungus. Its description in RNAcentral is "eukaryotic LSU rRNA". The stretch from base 210 to 363 matches the Rfam family "5.8S ribosomal RNA". Lineage: Eukaryota; Fungi. The record is from RNAcentral.
AAGUCGUAACAAGGUCUCCGUAGGUGAACCUGCGGAGGGAUCAUUACCGAGUGGAGGGCGCUCCGGCGCCCGACCUCCCGACCCUUUGAUUUGAUCAAGACCUCCUUCUGCCUCGGGGGCGACCCGGCCUUCGGGCGGCGGUCCCCCGGCGGUACCCAACCUCAACCCUGCAUCAAUUGUCGUCUGAGCAUUGAAGCGAAUUCAAUCAAAACUUUCAACAACGGAUCUCUUGGUUCUGGCAUCGAUGAAGAACGCAGCGAAAUGCGAUAAGUAAUGUGAAUUGCAGAAUUCAGUGAAUCAUCGAAUCUUUGAACGCACAUUGCGCCCGCCAGCAUUCUGGCGGGCAUGCCUGUCCGAGCGUCAUUUCAACCCUCAGGCCCCGUAAUCUCUCGGGGCCUGGCGUUGGGGAUCGGCCCUGCAGCCCAGGCCGGCCCCGAAAUCCAGUGGCGGUCACGCCGCGGCUUCCUCUGCGUAGUAGAAACACCUCGCAUAGGGACGCGGCGCGGCCACGCCGUAAAGCGGGCGCGAGCCCAACUUCCUCAAGGUUGACCUCGGAUCAGGUAGGAAUACCCGCUGAACUUAA